RNAcentral lists this RNase P RNA (366 nucleotides) under Minisyncoccota bacterium. RNAcentral describes it as "RNase P RNA component class A". It matches the Rfam family "Bacterial RNase P class A". Rfam says of the family: Ribonuclease P (RNase P) is a ubiquitous endoribonuclease, found in archaea, bacteria and eukarya as well as chloroplasts and mitochondria. Its best characterised activity is the generation of mature 5'-ends of tRNAs by cleaving the 5'-leader elements of precursor-tRNAs. Lineage: Bacteria; Bacillati; Minisyncoccota. The record is from RNAcentral.
ACACGAUGAUCGCCCUCUUGAGUAAAAGAGGGAGGAAAGUCCGAACACGCCCACCUAGUUCGGUGGAGAAGGGUAGCGGGUAAUGCCCGUCGGUUAGUAAUAACCAGAGGUGCGAGCAGAGACGUCCGGAGCGAAAGCAAAGGAAUUCCUUAUAGAAUUUUCUUGAGGAAUAGCCCAUAUAGUAAUAUAUGGGGUGAAACGGCUAAAUCCUUACUUGCGUGCAAGGCCGUGCUUCCGUCGCCAUUUUGUUGAAAAAUUUCAACAAAAUGGCGACGGAAGAGAGCCGCAUGAGGUGAUUGGCAACAGUCACCCUAGGUAUAUGAUCAUCCGGGACUUGUCCCGACAGAAUUCGGCUUAUGUGUACAA